GGGGUUGUGGCUCAGUGGUAGAGCACUCACCUCACAUGUGGGAGGACCUGGGUUUGACCCUCAGCACCACA
Molecule: transfer RNA, 71 nt
Filed under: Marmota monax (woodchuck)
Lineage: Eukaryota; Metazoa; Chordata; Mammalia; Rodentia; Sciuridae
Description: tRNA.Val
Rfam family: tRNA
About the family: Transfer RNA (tRNA) molecules are approximately 80 nucleotides in length. Their secondary structure includes four short double-helical elements and three loops (D, anti-codon, and T loops).
Source: RNAcentral